RNAcentral lists this ribosomal RNA (301 nucleotides) under uncultured bacterium. Its description in RNAcentral is "partial 16S ribosomal RNA". It matches the Rfam family "Bacterial small subunit ribosomal RNA", at positions 509 to 807 of the family's 1533-position model. The record is from RNAcentral.
CAGUCGCCGCGGUAAAACGGAGGGUGCAAGCGUUAAUCGGAAUUACUGGGCGUAAAGCGCACGCAGGCGGUCUGUCAAGUCAGAUGUGAAAUCCCCGGGCUUAACCUGGGAACUGCAUUUGAAACUGGCAGGCUAGAGUCUUGUAGAGGGGGGUAGAAUUCCAGGUGUAGCGGUGAAAUGCGUAGAGAUCUGGAGGAAUACCGGUGGCGAAGGCGGCCCCCUGGACAAAGACUGACGCUCAGGUGCGAAAGCGUGGGGAGCAAACAGGAUUAGAUACCCCUGUAGUCCCUGUCUCUUAUAC